RNAcentral lists this ribosomal RNA (454 nucleotides) under uncultured bacterium. RNAcentral's name for it is "bacterial SSU rRNA". It matches the Rfam family "Bacterial small subunit ribosomal RNA", at positions 340 to 786 of the family's 1533-position model. The record is from RNAcentral.
UACGGAAGGCAGCAGUGGGGAAUAUUGCACAAUGGGCGCAAGCCUGAUGCAGCCAUGCCGCGUGUAUGAAAAAGGCCUUCGGGUUGUAAAGUACUUUCAGUCGUGAGGAAGGUAUUAAGGUUAAUAACCUUAGCAAUUGACGUUAGCGACAGAAGAAGCACCGGCUAACUCCGUGCCAGCAGCCGCGGUAAUACGGAGGGUGCGAGCGUUAAUCGGAAUUACUGGGCGUAAAGGGCACGCAGGCGGUUAAUUAAGUUGGAUGUGAAAUCCCCGGGCUUAACCUGGGAAUGGCAUUCAAGACUGGUUAGCUAGAGUCUUGUAGAGGGGGUAGAAUUCCAUGUGUAGCGGUGAAAUGCGUAGAGAUGUGGAGGAAUACCGGUGGCGAAGGCGGCCCCUGGACAAAGACUGACGCUCAUGUGCGAAAGCGUGGGGAGCAAACAGGGAUUUAGAUACC